Molecule: transfer RNA, 75 nt
Filed under: Stegodyphus mimosarum
Lineage: Eukaryota; Metazoa; Arthropoda; Arachnida; Araneae; Eresidae
Rfam family: tRNA
About the family: Transfer RNA (tRNA) molecules are approximately 80 nucleotides in length. Their secondary structure includes four short double-helical elements and three loops (D, anti-codon, and T loops).
Source: Rfam by way of RNAcentral
GCCUUCGUGGUGUAACGGUUAACGCAUACGGCGGCGCGUAUUCGAGAGGUCCAGGUUCGAGUCCCGGCGAGGGUA